Molecule: ribosomal RNA, 454 nt
Filed under: uncultured bacterium
Lineage: Bacteria
Description: bacterial SSU rRNA
Rfam family: Bacterial small subunit ribosomal RNA
Source: RNAcentral
UACGGAAGGCAGCAGUGGGGAAUAUUGCACAAUGGGCGCAAGCCUGAUGCAGCCAUGCCGCGUGUAUGAAGAAGGCCUUCGGGUUGUAGAGUACUUUCAGUCGUGAGGAAGGUGUUAAGGUUAAUAACCUUAGCAAUUGACGUUAGCGACAGAAGAAGCACCGGCUAACUCCGUGCCAGCAGCCGCGGUAAUACGGAGGGUGCGAGCGUUAAUCGGAAUUACUGGGCGUAAAGGGCACGCAGGCGGUUAAUUAAGUUGGAUGUGAAAUCCCCGGGCUUAACCUGGGAAUGGCAUUCAAGACUGGUUAGCUAGAGUCUUGUAGAGGGGGGUAGAAUUCCAUGUGUAGCGGUGAAAUGCGUAGAGAUGUGGAGGAAUACCGGUGGCGAAGGCGGCCCCUGGGACAAAGACUGACGCUCAUGUGCGAAAGCGUGGGGAGCAAACAGGAUUAGAUACC